This 375-nucleotide ribosomal RNA is filed under the name uncultured organism. RNAcentral's name for it is "partial 16S ribosomal RNA". It matches the Rfam family "Bacterial small subunit ribosomal RNA", at positions 527 to 897 of the family's 1533-position model. The record is from RNAcentral.
GGAGGGGGCAAGCGUUGUUCGGAAUUAUUGGGCGUAAAGAGCGUGUAGGCGGUUAAGUAAGUCAAACGUGAAAGUCCUCGGCUCAACCGGGGAAUUGCGUUUGAAACUGCUUUUCUUGAGUGCGGGAGAGGAGAGCGGAAUUCCUAGUGUAGCGGUGAAAUGCGUAGAUAUUAGGAAGAACACCGGUGGCGAAGGCGGCUCUCUGGACCGUUACUGACGCUGAGACGCGAAAGCCAGGGGAGCAAACGGGAUUAGAUACCCCGGGUAGUCCUGGCUGUAAACGAUGGGCACUAGGUGAGGGAGGCUUCGACCCCCUUCCGUGCCCGCAGCUAACGCAUUAAGUGCCCCGCCUGGGGGAUACGGUCGCAAGGCUGA